AGAGUUUGAUCCUGGCUCAGGAUGAACGCUAGCGGCAGGCUUAACACAUGCAAGUCGAGGGGUAACAGGGAGCUUGCUCCGCUGACGACCGGCGCACGGGUGCGUAACGCGUAUAGAACCUACCUUUUACAGAGGAAUAGCCUUUAGAAAUGAAGAUUAAUGCCUUAUAGUAUUAAAGACUCGCAUGAGUUUUUAAUUAAAGAUUUAUCGGUAAAAGAUGGCUAUGCGUCCUAUUAGCUAGAUGGUAAGGUAACGGCUUACCAUGGCAACGAUAGGUAGGGGUCCUGAGAGGGAGAUCCCCCACACUGGUACUGAGACACGGACCAGACUCCUACGGGAGGCAGCAGUGAGGAAUAUUGGGCAAUGGAGGCAACUCUGACCCAGCCAUGCCGCGUGCAGGAAGAAGGCCCUAUGGGUUGUAAACUGCUUUUAUACAGGAAGAAACAGCUCUACGUGUAGAGCCUUGACGGUACUGUAAGAAUAAGCACCGGCUAACUCCGUGCCAGCAGCCGCGGUAAUACGGAGGGUGCAAGCGUUAUCCGGAAUCAUUGGGUUUAAAGGGUCCGCAGGCGGUCAAUUAAGUCAGAGGUGAAAUCCCAUAGCUUAACUAUGGAACUGCCUUUGAUACUGGUUGACUUGAGUCAUAUGGAAGUAGAUAGAAUGUGUAGUGUAGCGGUGAAAUGCAUAGAUAUUACACAGAAUACCGAUUGCGAAGGCAGUCUACUACGUAUGUACUGACGC
This 741-nucleotide ribosomal RNA is filed under the name uncultured bacterium. RNAcentral describes it as "bacterial SSU rRNA". It matches the Rfam family "Bacterial small subunit ribosomal RNA", at positions 8 to 746 of the family's 1533-position model. The record is from RNAcentral.